RNAcentral lists this ribosomal RNA (463 nucleotides) under uncultured bacterium. RNAcentral's name for it is "bacterial SSU rRNA". It matches the Rfam family "Bacterial small subunit ribosomal RNA", at positions 331 to 792 of the family's 1533-position model. The record is from RNAcentral.
CCAGACUCCUACGGGAGGCAGCAGUGAGGAAUAUUGGUCAAUGGGCGCGAGCCUGAACCAGCCAAGUCGCGUGAGGGAAGACGGUCCUAUGGAUUGUAAACCUCUUUUGUCGGGGAGCAAAAGACGCCACGCGUGGCGUUCCGAGAGUACCCGAAGAAAAAGCAUCGGCUAACUCCGUGCCAGCAGCCGCGGUAAUACGGAGGAUGCGAGCGUUAUCCGGAUUUAUUGGGUUUAAAGGGUGCGUAGGCGGAAUGCCAAGUCAGCGGUAAAAUCGCGGGGCUCAACCUCGCUCCGCCGUUGAAACUGGCGUUCUUGAGUGGGCGAGAAGUAUGCGGAAUGCGUGGUGUAGCGGUGAAAUGCAUAGAUAUCACGCAGAACUCCGAUUGCGAAGGCAGCAUACCGGCGCCCAACUGACGCUGAAGCACGAAAGCGUGGGUAUCGAACAGGAUUAGAUACCCCUGUA